This 450-nucleotide ribosomal RNA is filed under the name uncultured bacterium. RNAcentral describes it as "bacterial SSU rRNA". It matches the Rfam family "Bacterial small subunit ribosomal RNA", at positions 354 to 796 of the family's 1533-position model. The record is from RNAcentral.
GUGGGGAAUUUUGGACAAUGGGGGCAACCCUGAUCCAGCCAUUCCGCGUGAGUGAAGAAGGCCUUCGGGUUGUAAAGCUCUUUCAGCUGGAACGAAACGGUACGCUCUAACAUAGCGUGCUAAUGACGGUACCAGCAGAAGAAGCACCGGCUAACUACGUGCCAGCAGCCGCGGUAAUACGUAGGGUGCGAGCGUUAAUCGGAAUUACUGGGCGUAAAGCGUGCGCAGGCGGAUUGUUAAGCAAGACGUGAAAUCCCCGGGCUUAACCUGGGAAUGGCGUUUUGAACUGGCAGUCUAGAGUGUGUCAGAGGGGGGUGGAAUUCCACGUGUAGCAGUGAAAUGCGUAGAGAUGUGGAGGAACACCGAUGGCGAAGGCAGCCCCCUGGGAUAACACUGACGCUCAUGUACGAAAGCGUGGGUAGCAAACAGGAUUAGAUACCCGAGUAGUCC